GGGGGGAAAGUUGGAUCCUGGGCUGUGUCCCCGGUGCCCUGUACUCCCGGGCCUGCACUGUUGGAGUCGCGCUCCUGGCCGCGCAGCCCCCU
Non-coding RNA from Canis lupus familiaris (dog), 92 nucleotides. NCBI's taxonomy places the organism in Eukaryota, Metazoa, Chordata, Mammalia, Carnivora, Canidae. The record is from Rfam.